Long non-coding RNA from Choloepus didactylus (southern two-toed sloth), 2207 nucleotides. RefSeq lists it as uncharacterized. NCBI's taxonomy places the organism in Eukaryota, Metazoa, Chordata, Mammalia, Pilosa, Megalonychidae. The record is from RefSeq and is a predicted model, not a curated record. The transcript is spliced from 4 exons.
CGGGCGCGAUGGAACGCAAGCCUUGGGGAGGUUGAGCCAACAGGGACGUGGCGUUCUGCGACACGGGUGGAGAAGCCGCACCUCUUCCUUCUCUCGCGUUCCCAGAGGAGCCUGUGGAGCAGGAGUUGGGCGGGAUCCUACAGAACAUCAACUGGCCGGUUAGUUACAACAGCAAUUUCUUCAUUAUGUUUAGAAGAGGGGAGGAGGAGAUAGGAGCACUUACUCCCAAGAGACAAUGAGCAAAUCGAAAUUUUCAGCAAUAAGAAUCUCAGGCCAAACCCCAUACCUAUUGAAUCUGCAUUGCCUGUCCUUUAUUUCAGCAAACCUCCAUUUGAAUAUGGUUUGCAAGCAGCCUCUGACUCAAAUUCAGCCUUGCCUGUCAAAGGACGAUGAUAGCAUCAUAUCAACCACCAGUUCAUCUCUCUGAAGCAGCUUUGUUUAUUUCUCGGUUGGCAUUACACAGUGUCAGAAAUGGGAUCUGAAGCUAUCACCGACCUGACUUUGGAGCUACCAUUGGAUUCAAGCAUGGUACUGGAAAAAGCCCGUUGCACUCUCUUGUCUCCCCCAUGGCCCUGGGUUCCUGCCAGUAAGUCCUCUUGGUUCUGAAGUGCCCUCUUUUUGGUUGAGGUUCUGGUCUUUCUUUUGGUGUCUUCUGCUAAAGGCAUUUGAACUUCAGUUCUUUGGGUUUGGGCUGGUGGCAGCAGCCCUUUUGUGUUUGCCCUUUUUGGUACACAAGGAAAAUUUCCUUUUCUGAUAAGUGCUCAAACGGGACAUUAAAAAUUCCCACUUUGGUAUUGAGUUCUUUUUUUAGAGGAGGGAUACCUUCCGAACAAUCAAUUUGACCUAUGUUCUGACUGAGAAAUCAAAUAACUAUUUUGGUGGGCACAGGAUGGGCACUUAAAAGCUAGUAGGGUGCCUGCCACCUUUUGAUAAGAAGUCUCAGCUUCUGAAGACCAAGACUCCUAUGAAAGGGUGAAGUGGCCAUGGAUGGAUUGUAUUGACACAAGGUGCCUGCCACACACAAGACAAUUUUCAUGCAACUAGGAGAACUUACCAUGGGUUGGACAACUAGAGCACAGGCUGUCCACCAGGUAAAAUAAGCAUCCUGUGAAAGGCACCCUGUAAAAUAUCACACUUGCCCCAAACCCAGAUAAUUCCUCUCAGAUUUAGGAUUUAUGAUUGCUUACAAUCAGAACUAAUUAAAAAAUAGUUUGCAAUCCAUCUAAGAACUCUAAUAGUGUAUGACCAUCUAGCAUACCAGCUGGUUUCUUGUACAAAAAUUAUGGUCCUGCCUCAUGUAAAAUCUUAUCCUGCUGGACCUGGCACACUAGAGAAAAUCUUGAAUUAUAAUGACCUCAAUGGGAACUUUUGAUACACCUAAAUUGGUAUUGAAAAUAGAGGCUCUAAACUAAGCAAGCCAAAAUGAGAUACCUACUUUAGUUGGUAUUUAGAAGCUUCCUGAUGUAUAACUAAUUCUAAAAUUGCCUCUUUAAGAAACAAAUACUAAAUUAACAAAGACUAACACAGACUUCUCUAAAUGCAGUAUGAAGUUUGAAAAAUUAUCUGAAACUCUUGAGUCUGACUGUUCUAAUCCUUCUUUAAGCCUCUCCUGUCCUCUUCCUCUAUGUCCUAGUUUAGCCAAACUCCUCUUCUAUAGUGAUAAGAUUUUCCAAAUCUUCCUGAAGACCCAGUAGGUUUUGCAAAAUAAUUCAGUCUUAUCAUUAAGACUGUUGAGCCUGGAUACUAAGACCUUUACCAGUUAAUUUACAUGCCACAGUGAAGUUCAUGGCAAAAUCUGGAUAGACAAAGCUAAUUAGAAAGAUCCCUUAAAUGACUUUUCAAAAUGAAUAACUACUGGUAAACUGAAGCAUUUAAGCUAGCUAAGGAACUCCAUAAGGUCGUACCUGAUGAUUUUUCCCAAAUUAUUGAUUAAAGAAAAAUCUAACAAUGUACCCAGAAACCUGAUGAGCCCAUAUAUGAAUAUUAUACAGGCUCAGAAUAACUUUUAAAUAAUUCUCAGGUCUUGACCAUAUUAACUAUGAAACCUCCAACCUAUUUAAUUCUACUUUUGUUAACAGCCUUUCAGAAGAACUAAGCACCACUCUAAAAUGUAAGCAACUAAACUGGGCCACAGUGGCACCUAAUGAUUUAGUAAAUCUUACAGAUCAUUUAGAUCACAUCUUUUAAAAAGCUGGAAAAAAAAAAGG